AACGGGUUCUCCCAAAUUUCAAAGUUCAUUUAGGUCCAUAAGCAAAUGUUAGCCAUUAAUAUUUAUGGAUCUUGUUUACUACCUAAGUGCAAAGUCAAUCAAGGCAUUUUCCCACCAGAAAUUUGAAAUCCUCACAUAUCCCUCACCAAUGAUAUCACUUUAUAGAUGAUGAUAACUGAUGAAAUGUGCAGGGGUCAUUAAAAAAAAAAAUUCAACUAAAUGGACUCAGAUGCAUGAUUAAUGCAAUGCCUUUUUUUACACCUCUACUUUUAACUGUUAUUUACUAAGUUGAUUAUCUGCAAUUCUUGUUUCCAAUACUUCCAAGCAUUUAAAAAGCAUGAGUGUUUUAAAAUGUUCGCCAACCAAGUGGUUUUCCAUUGCCUUGCUUCAGGAGACCAUAAAGCAUGUAGGUGAGUGUCUUUUAUGUAUCCAUUCUUAUUACACAUUCAAGACAAAAUCACAAAUCACGUUGUAUAAACCCCUCAACAACAGCGGGAGUUACAGGAAAGGAAAUGAGGUCAAACAGGGAUGUCUUCUGUGUAUAAAAUUAACACAUCUUAUAGGUUAACCGGAAGACAAAGAUAUAGCCAACUACAAAACAGCGGAUUUAAGCAAGAAGAAUUUAUGCAUGUGAACUAGCCCUCUCCAGAAAUUAAGGCCACUGGGUCACUCACUUUCCUAAAAGAAGGAUGUGCUUCAGGUUUGUUAUGAAGAUGUUCUCUCUCUUUCCAUAGAAGGUUCAGUUGUAACAAGCCUGCAUUAGACUUACCAUACUCGCAGACAUAGAAUUCAUUUCUGACAUGUGCUGCCACAUUUACUCUAUAAAAUACUACAAUGAUCACUUUAAUUUGCUGCCUAACGAUUAUUACACGGGAAACAUGUUUGUGCAGAAAGGCAAUUUCGGUGGCUUAGCUCCUGAUUAAAAACUGGUCUUUAGGAGUUCCCGUCCUGACUCAGUGGUUAACGAAUCCGACUAGGAACCAUGAGGUUGCGGGUUCGGUCCCUGCUCAGUGGCUUAAGGAUCUGGCAUUGCCGUGAGCUGUGGUGUAGGUCGAAGCUCUGAUUCGACCCCUAGUCUGGGAACUUCCAUAUGCUGUGGGUGCGGCCCUAGAAAAGACAAAAAAAUAAAUAAAAAAUAAAAACUGGUCUUUGCCUCAGGUAUCUCUUGUAAAUUGGUACAGAAAUUCAGGAAUAAGAGCGUGUUCCAGAAGAGCUUUUAGUGUUCUCCAUCAUACAAUAUUAAUCACUACAUUUUCUUAAAGUACUGAAGAUAUUGAACCACUUGGAGGAUGUCUUACCAAAAAAAUGUGUGUAUGAAAACAGCUUUUACUGUAUUUCAAUAGCUAAUGUAGAACUCAUUAUAGCCAGAACAUUUUAUCAAUGAGAAAAAAAAAAAAAAAAGCAAAUGUACAUAUGUUGACCUCUUUGGGAAUCUCUGAAAUGAAGAACUAUUGAUUCAUUGUGCUUAGGAUCACCCUGAUAACAUCAGCGUUACCAGUAUUUAGAUUCAGAAACACUCAUCUCUAUCUUGUAUCUCAAUGCUUCUCCGUUCCAACUCUAGGAUACUGGAGGGUUAAAAUCUAUUACUUAAACCCUAUUGUUACUUCUGUCUUAUCACUCUCCAUACUUCCAGCAUCUUUUAAUUCUCAAUAUUAAGGGGCGCUGGCACAACACUGGAAAUCCACAAUACAUUAAUAAAAAAUAAAAAUUAAUCAAUUACUUUAAAAAUACUUUUAAUUAACUUUAAAAAUUCCAGUAAGUAGAACCAGAAAUUAGAGAACCACCAUUAAAAGAAACACUUCAGAGCAAAGUCAAUUUGCUUAACUGUCAACACUUACUAUUUAGCUUUUAACCUGGAAAAUAAAUCUACUCUUAAAUUUAGUGCUUUCAGGUAAAACUUUGCUUCCCCUCACCCCAAGGGAAAAACCACCUUUCACUCCCAACAAAAGGUAUUCAUCUAACCAAUUUGAGCAUAAACAACUCAUUUUCACAUGCAAAAGUUCUUGUAUCCUACCAUUUAGCACAUUUAAAUGUGAUUUUUUCCAUUUAAAGUCCAAUUGUAAGGCUUUAGAGAUCCCAGCCUGUGGUCCCUGGAUUAAGAUUUCAUUUCUAAUUAUCAUUUCCUUUUGGUGCUAAUGUGUUUGUUCCUCAUUAGUGCCACUCGCUGGCCUGGAUGUAAACCAGAUUAAAAGAAAUUCCUUUGAUUUUCCUGGUUUCAAAGAUACAAAAGAAUUUCUCACUUUGAAAAUCCCCACAGAGUUUUGGGUGAAGAAUGUAUCACCUCAGGAUGUUGAUACCUUCAUUAUAUAUAACUCACAUUCUUAGGAAUUCCUCAAUCUCAAAAGACCCGGUUACAGUUGCUGCUUUCUUUUGGGGCGAUCUGAGUCUAAUACUAUUAAUUGCACUCAGUUCCUGAAAUAAUAUAACAUACUGUACUUCAUUUUAUGGAUUUUUUUUGGGGGGGGGUCUUUUUAGGGCUGCACCCAUGCCUUAUGGAGGUUCCCAGGCUAGGAGUCGAAUUGGAGCUGUAGCCACCGGCCUACAAAAAUAGAAUCAUGUCACCAAAAAAUUGGAAUAACUUUAAUAAACUUCAUCAGGCUUUGCCUGCUGUGCAUAAUUAAAGUUUAAAAUAAUCAUUUAAACCUAUUUGAAAGUAAUAAAAUAUAAUAAAUUCAUUUAGAGUCAUACAUGUCAACAAUUUUUCCUAUUUUACAAAAUUUCAGAUGAAAUAAAAUAUUAUUGAACAGUAAAGCAUGUGCAAAAGCUAAGGGAUAUUUGCAUCUUUCCAACACAAGAAAAAUAAUGAUGUUUUUCCUGAUCCAGAAAAUCAUGCACAUUAGAAAGAGGCAGGUAUCUAAAGGCAUUUUCUCGCCCCAAAUGAAUUACCUCUACAGUCCAAAUAACAUUUUCUUUGUACUCUCCUUUUAUUUGCAUCAUAUGUAGGAGAUAAGCCAAAAAAAGCAGUCUUAAGUACAACACAAAAAACUGCUCUUUAAAUAUAUUUAGAAAACUACUCUUCAGUAGGAUUUUUUUCAAUUUUCUUAAUUAUUGUACAUUUUAAUGAUCAACAAAACCUGGCCAUACAUGCUAAUUUAAUUGCCAUCCCAAAUAUGUGUAACCUUAACUAAGAACUUCCAAAAUAUCUUAGCAACUGUAAAGUUGAACCUUCAGUAGAUUCUUUUCAAGGGUGGGUCAGAGGGUAAGAUCAAUACUGUAUUGCAAAAAAAAAAAAAAAAAGUUAUUAUAGUUUUAUGUAUGAAUUUAUAUCUGAUGUUUAUGUCUUAUUACCUGUACAAUAGGUAUAUAUGUAAUUUUUCUUUUUCAUAAUUAGGGAAAUAUAUGACUGGAUCACUUCAGGGUACAGCAGAAAUAGAUAGAACAUUAUAAAUCAACUAUAAUAGACAAAAUAAAAAUCUAAAAAAAAAGGAUUAGUCAGGGAAGAAGUAUAUAAUGAAGGGGUGAAAGUAGUAAAUAUGACUCCCUAUUUAUAAAUAUAAUAAGGAAAGACUAUUUUAAAAGAAAUCCCAGGAUUCCAAGAAAAAAUUAUUUGAUCACACAUGACAAGUAAUAAAAAAAAAA
Molecule: long non-coding RNA, 3579 nt
Filed under: Sus scrofa (pig)
Lineage: Eukaryota; Metazoa; Chordata; Mammalia; Artiodactyla; Suidae
Description: lncRNA (ENSSSCG00000059993.1)
Source: RNAcentral